GACGAACGCUGGCGGCGUGCCUAAUACAUGCAAGUCGAGCGAGAUUAUUUGAGUGCUUGCACUCGAAUAAUCUAGCGGCGGACGGGUGAGUAACACGUGGGCAACCUGCCCUACAGUUUGGGAUAACUCCGGGAAACCGGGGCUAAUACCGAAUAAUCCUUCGAAUCACAUGGUUUGAAGUUGAAAGGCGCUUCGGCGUCGCUGUAGGAUGGGCCCGCGGUGCAUUAGCUAGUUGGUGGGGUAAUGGCCUACCAAGGCAACGAUGCAUAGCCGACCUGAGAGGGUGAUCGGCCACAUUGGGACUGAGACACGGCCCAAACUCCUACGGGAGGCAGCAGUAGGGAAUCUUCCACAAUGGACGAAAGUCUGAUGGAGCAACGCCGCGUGAGUGAUGAAGGUUUUCGGAUCGUAAAACUCUGUUGUAAGGGAAGAACAAGUGCGUUAGGUAAUGAACGCACCUUGACGGUACCUUAUUAGAAAGCCACGGCUAACUACGUGCCAGCAGCCGCGGUAAU
This 515-nucleotide ribosomal RNA is filed under the name uncultured bacterium. RNAcentral describes it as "bacterial SSU rRNA". It matches the Rfam family "Bacterial small subunit ribosomal RNA", at positions 28 to 524 of the family's 1533-position model. The record is from RNAcentral.